CGAGUGCGGCUCUCUGACCGAGCGCUCCCCAACGUCGCCCCAGUCUUAGGAUUUUCUGGUUGUUGAUAACUUUUAAACAAGCGCGUUCUUUCGGAGUCCCUGCUGGGUUUGGAGUAGAGACACUGACCAACUAACGUGAACUUUAUUCAGUCCUUCAAGAGUUUGCAGUUUGGGGAGAAAAAGAGAUGAGGAGAAAUACACACUCACUAGCAGAUUCGCAGGUGUUCAGUGGGUGGAGAGUCCAAAGUUAGGCGUGGUGUUACAAAGGCUUGAGAAAGGUGAACUGUGACGGUAAGGGGAAGGUAGAGAAGGGAAUACUGUUCCGUUUUUAUGUUAAAUUCGUUAUUCGAUCCGGACCUGUCUCAACACUCAUUAAAACUCUCUUAAUAAUAUCUGGGGAGAAUCGGUGCUUUUUCUGGGUGAGAACUAACUACUUGCUAAGAUCUGUCUCCACAUAGAAGUGGAUUCAGAGUAUAACGAUCUGCGUUCGAUCCCUGAAACCCACAUCGUGGAAGGACAGAAUGGGUUUCUGGAAGUUACUUUCUGACCUUCACACUCAAGCUAUGGCAUGCAAGUAAAUAAAUGCCUCCCUCCAGAAAAAUAGGAAGGUUACAGAGAUGGGAUAGAUGCUGGCAAAGCAGUAACCCUUCAACAGGGCUUCAAUCAAGGCUAUAAAGAGGGUGCCGAUGUCAUUUUAAACUACGGACUACUCAGGGGA
Molecule: long non-coding RNA, 718 nt
Filed under: Rattus norvegicus (Norway rat)
Lineage: Eukaryota; Metazoa; Chordata; Mammalia; Rodentia; Muridae
Description: long non-coding RNA NONRATT012493
Source: RNAcentral